GUACAACUCUUAGCGGUGGAUCACUCGGCUCGUGAGUCGAUGAAAAACGCAGCCAGCUGCGAGAACUAAUGUGAAUUG
This 78-nucleotide ribosomal RNA is filed under the name Leuciscus idus (ide). Its description in RNAcentral is "partial 5.8S ribosomal RNA". It matches the Rfam family "5.8S ribosomal RNA", at positions 1 to 74 of the family's 154-position model. Rfam says of the family: 5.8S ribosomal RNA (5.8S rRNA) is a component of the large subunit of the eukaryotic ribosome. It is transcribed by RNA polymerase I as part of the 45S precursor that also contains 18S and 28S rRNA. Lineage: Eukaryota; Metazoa; Chordata; Actinopteri; Cypriniformes; Leuciscidae. The record is from RNAcentral.